UCUAUAUAAUGCGGGUCACGACACACAAGCGGAAAGAGUUUAAAGUGUUGGAAGGAAAGGCGAGAGUUAGAUUAUCAGGGAACACCAUCAGCAAGGCAACGAGACGGAACCGAGGCGAGGAGGCAACUUAGGGAAGAAGAGGAGGGCCUUAUAUAUUCCCUGUUAUGUUUCUCACACUCUUGAACGGGGCAGGUUAGGUUAGGUAAGGUUUGGUUAGGUUAGGUUAGGUUAGAUAAGGUUAAGUUAGGUUGUUAGGUAAGGUUUGGUUAGGUUAGAUAAGGUUAAGUUAGGUUGUGAGGUUGUUAGGUAAGGUUUGGGUUGGUUAGGUUAGGUUAGGUUCGGUUAGGUUAGAUAAGGUUAAGUUAGAUUGUUAGGUAAGGUUUGGGUAGGUUAGAUAAGGUUAAGAUAGGUUGUGAGGUUGUUAGGUAAGGUUUGGUUAGGUUAGAUAAUGUUAAGUUGUUAGGUAAGGUUAGGUUAGGUUACGUUCGGGUAGGUUAGAUAUGGUUAAGUUAGGUUACGUUAGGUAAGGUGAAGGUUAGAUUAGUCUAGGUUACUUAGGUUAGGUUCGGUCUGGUGAGAGUAAAGUGAGUUAGUUUUGAGUAGGAAUCCUAAUGAGUGUUUUUCAGCACACUCUAUGGAGAUCUUGUCCUGGGGGGGGGGGGGGGUUAGGGGGAAUCUGUCUUGGGGCGUAUCAAGGUGGGGGUAGCGGUGUUUGACCAGGCCUGAAGGUGCUAACUGCGAGCGCGAGGAAAGACUAGUGAGGGAAAGGGAAAGGCAUUUGAUUCCUGUGUGUGUGUGUGUGUGUGUGUGUGUGUGUGUGUGUGUGUGUGUGUGUGUGUGUGUGUGUGUGUGUGUGUCCUUCAGGUGUAGCUCAAUCUUAUCAGCGUCAACAGGUAAAUAGUGAUGCUUGACUACCUGUUGCUGGCCUUAAUGAGACACGCACAGGCUAGAUUCUUACCUGCCUUCAGCAUCACCAGCAUCAUUCUUCUUCUUCUUCUUCAUUAUCAUCUCAUCCUUCUCCUUCUCUUUCUCGGUCUUCUUGUUCUUUCUCUUCAUCAUUAUCAUCAUCGUAUACUUUCUUCUUCUUUUCAUCAUAAUUAUUCUUGUGUGUAAGUGACCAGCAUCAUCCACACACACAAUCACACCAGAGAACUUUCCAUUAGCGACCCCUCCCAUUGAUCCUCGUAAUGGUGUUAGGAGGGAGGGAGAGAGGGCUGGAUGUGUGUGUCGUCACCUGCUGUACCCAAUGAUUGCUUUCGCCACCUGUAGUAUACCAUUGAUUCCCUCCCUCAGACCGUGACCAUUACCUCUAUCUCUCGUUGAUGACCGGGUGCACUCUGGUUAUGUGGUGAUGACUGGUUCUGCUGUAUGUUUCCUAAUUGAUGACUGGGAUAACAAAAUAAUAAGGAACAACAGAAGGUAAGGCUUAGAAGAAAGGAACAGGAGCCAAGAAGUGAAAAAAAGUGGUUAAGAGAAAUAGCUAAUCAAAAGGAAGAAGAGAAGGUGAGGUUUAGGGGAAGGAAAAUAGGAGAAAAGAUGAAUGAGGAGAUAGGGAGAGGGACGAGGAAGAAAGGAUAACAGCAGACUUAGGUGACACAAGGAAGAAGAGAAGGUGAGGUUUAGGGGAAGGAAAAUAGGAGAUAGGGAGAGGAACAAGGAAGAAAGGAUAACAGCAGACUUAGGUGACAAGGAAGAAGAGAAGGUGAGGUUUAGGGGAAGGAAAAUAGGAGAAAAGAUGAAUGAGGAGAUAGGGAGAGGAACAAGGAAGAAAGGAUAACAGCAGACUUAGGUGACACAAGGAAGAAGAGAAGGUGAGGUUUAGGGGAAGGAAAAUAGGAGAAAAGAUGAAUGAGGAGAUAGGGAGAGGGACAAGGAAGAAAGACUUAGCUUACGUGACACGCAGCGUUUGCCUUCAGGAGUUACUGUUAUGUGUGGCGGGGCGAGGGGCGAGGAGAACCCGUCGUCCUUCAGCGCCUUGAGUACCCUGGCGGCGGCUUCUCCAGUCACCAGGGAGCAACGGUGAAGAUGGUCGCGAUAACAUUCCGCGUCUCAACACCGAUUGGGGCCAUUUUCUUAUGCACUCCGGCGCCCAAGCACACACACAUUUGGCAGGGCUUUCGUACGAGUUGUGGGCGUUUCCUUGGGUAGUUGAUUGGUCUAUGUACCUAUCUUUCGGCCACCUCUUUGGAUUCUUUUUAGGAGCAGCGAGUAGCG
Eriocheir sinensis (Chinese mitten crab) is the source of this 2214-nucleotide long non-coding RNA. RefSeq lists it as uncharacterized. NCBI's taxonomy places the organism in Eukaryota, Metazoa, Arthropoda, Malacostraca, Decapoda, Varunidae. The record is from RefSeq and is a predicted model, not a curated record. The transcript is spliced from 3 exons.